RNAcentral lists this ribosomal RNA (240 nucleotides) under uncultured bacterium. RNAcentral's name for it is "partial 16S ribosomal RNA". It matches the Rfam family "Bacterial small subunit ribosomal RNA", at positions 334 to 591 of the family's 1533-position model. The record is from RNAcentral.
UGCUCCUACGGGAGGCAGCAGUGGGGAAUAUUGCACAAUGGGGGAAACCCUGAUGCAGCACCGCCUCUUUCUUGAUGACGGCCUUCGGGUUGUAAAGCUCUGUCUUCAGGGACGAUAAUGACGGUACCUGAGGAGGAAGCCACGGCUAACUAGGUGCCAGCAGCCGCGGUAAUACGUAGGUGGCGAGCGUUGUCCGGAUUUACUGGGCGUAAAGGGAGCGUAGGCGGACUUUUAAGGGAG